UGUAACUGUAAAAUAAGGUGAAUGUACUUAAUGCCUCUGAAUUAUACAUUUAAAAAUUAUUAAUAUGGUAAAUUAUGUAUAUUUUAUGACAAUAAUAAAAAAGUCCCUGUGAUCUCUCUAUUUAUGUAGACAAAUAAAUGUCCAUUUUUAAAACCAUGUAACUCUCUUUUUUAAUCUUACAGGAAUAUCUAUUAUUUCCAUGUAUCUGUGUUUGGUGGUUAUAACAAGAACACAUACUUCUCCGGGAUUAUAUUCUUAACUUUCCUAUCUUCAGUUCUCUUUCAUCUGUUUUUGUACUAAAAUAUUCUUUCUUUCCUAUACAUGCUCUUUAUCCCUGAUACAGUAGCCUAACUUUUUCCCCUCUUCACAAACACACACAUUCUCUCAUUUCCAGCUUUUGAAGUCCAACUUAUCUUUCAAUAUCUAAAUAAUAGGUCAUUUCUAAGAAGUGUUCCUUAUGCUCAACAAUAAUCACCAAAUAUUCCUUUUCUUGUGGUAACAGUUUGUUUUUCUCUUAUUGUGUGUAUUGUAUUCUGCAAUAAAUUAUACUUAAUUGUGCUCAUACUGGUUUCAGUGUCUCAAAAAUUGGUUGAUAUCAGGAAACUCAGCAAAUAUUUAUAAUUAUAUUUGCCUUUUGAUCACUAUAAAAAAAAUUAAGCAUUACAAACUUUCCUUGGAUUCUAAGCCUUGAAAUGAUAAACACUUUAGAGCUAUACUUCACAUGAAACUAUAAAUCAUUGAUUAUUUAAUAUUAAAAAACAGAAAAUUUUUACAUUUGCUCUUUAACAUUACAGAAUAAGAGGAUAAAGUCCUUUCUUAAUGCUUAUAAGUACUCACAAUGAAUCCAAUAGUUCUCUGUGAGUUAAAUGUUUCUUUAAGUUACUUACUGCUCAAAUGCUAGAGACCGACUUUAUUUUUUUCUUUAAUUAGUACUAAGAAUUAGUACUUAUAACUUUUCUAUAAACCUGAGUAUAAAAUUCAGAGAAACAGCAUUUCAAUGCAUUUUUUCCAAACAAAUGUCACUUUAUGUUUACAGUUCCAGUACCCAUAUAAGCAUUGCAUUCUUGUAACAUAUAAGCCUAUCCUUUUUCUUAAUUCUUUCAGAAAAUUGGCCAUGCUUUGUUAAAUCUCAAGAAAAAAGUUUAUAAUUCCUCCUGAGUCAAUUGUUUUAUAAUAAGACAUCCCUUUGAUUAUAUUCAAACUGAGGUCUAUUUCAUUCAAACAAUAAGCAUUAAGCUUGAAAAACCAAGUUAAAAUAGUUCUGCCUUAAAAAAUUAGGUAUAAUAGUGAUUGAUGUAACAAGAAAACUUAAAAUUAAGGCCACUUUGUCCUUCCCAGAUAAUAUAUUUAAGGAAUAUAUAAGUCCUCUAUUUUAAAAAUUUACUUAAGUCCUAAUUUUAGCAAAUGAUAACUAAGAAUGAAUUGACUCUUAUGCAAGUCCUUUAGAAGAGUUAAUUUAGUUCAGUUCCAAGCUAAUGUAAUGUGGGCAGAAUGUAUCUUAUUUUUUAUGUAUAUUUACUUAUUAUAAUAAAAAUAUUUCAAGAAAUAUUUCUCUGGAAAUGAAACAUUUACUUUUGGCUUA
Sapajus apella (tufted capuchin) is the source of this 1582-nucleotide long non-coding RNA. RefSeq lists it as uncharacterized. The transcript has 3 exons. Lineage: Eukaryota; Metazoa; Chordata; Mammalia; Primates; Cebidae. The record is from RefSeq and is a predicted model, not a curated record.